Molecule: ribosomal RNA, 492 nt
Filed under: uncultured bacterium
Lineage: Bacteria
Description: partial 16S ribosomal RNA
Rfam family: Bacterial small subunit ribosomal RNA
Source: RNAcentral
AGUGAACGCUGGCGGUAGGCCUAACACAUGCAAGUCGAACGGCAGCACAGUAAGAGCUUGCUCUUACGGGUGGCGAGUGGCGGACGGGUGAGGAAUACAUCGGAAUCUACUUUUUCGUGGGGGAUAACGUAGGGAAACUUACGCUAAUACCGCAUAUGACCUACGGGUGAAAGCAGGGGAUCUUCGGACCUUGCGCGAUUGAAUGAGCCGAUGUCGGAUUAGCUAGUUGGCGGGGUAAAGGCCCACCAAGGCGACGAUCCGUAGCUGGUCUGAGAGGAUGAUCGGCCACACUGGAACUGAGACACGGUCCAGACUCCUACGGGAGGCAGCAGUGGGGAAUAUUGGGCAAUGGGCGCAAGCCUGAUCCAGCCAUACCGCGUGGGUGAAGAAGGCCUUCGGGUUGUAAAGCCCUUUUGUUGGGAAAGAAAAGCAGCAGGUUAAUACCCCGCUGUUCUGACGGUACCCAAAGAAUAAGCACCGGCUAACUUCGUG